RNAcentral lists this ribosomal RNA (406 nucleotides) under uncultured bacterium. Its description in RNAcentral is "partial 16S ribosomal RNA". It matches the Rfam family "Bacterial small subunit ribosomal RNA", at positions 29 to 526 of the family's 1533-position model. The record is from RNAcentral.
AUUGAACGCUGGCGGCAGGCCUAACACAUGCAAGUCGAACGAGUGGCGGACGGGUGAGUAAUGUCUGGGAAACUGCCCGAUGGAGGGGGAUAACUACUGGAAACGGUAGCUAAUACCGCAUACCAUCGGAUGUGCCCAUAGGGGAUUGGCUAGUAGGUGGGGUAACGGCGCACCUAGGCGACGAUCCCGAGCUGGUCUGAGAGGAUGACCAGCCACACUGGGACUGAGACACGGUCCAGACUCCUACGGUAGGCAGCAGUGGGGAAUAUUGCACAAUGGGCGCAAGCCUGAGGCAGCCGGGCCGCGUGUAUGAAGAAGGCCUUCGGGUUGUAAAGUACUUUCAGCGGGGAGGCGUUACUCGCAGAAGAAGCACCGGCUAACUCCGUGCCAGCAGCCGCGGUAAUAC